GACGAACGCUGGCGGCGUGCUUAACACAUGCAAGUCGAACGGAAAGGCCCUGCUUUUGUGGGGUGCUCGAGUGGCGAACGGGUGAGUAACACGUGAGUAACCUGCCCUUGACUUUGGGAUAACUUCAGGAAACUGGGGCUAAUACAGGAUAGGAGCUCCUGCUGCAUGGUGGGGGUUGGAAAGUUUCGGCGGUUGGGGAUGGACUCGCGGCUUAUCAGCUUGUUGGUGGGGUAGUGGCUUACCAAGGCAUUGACGGGUAGCCGGCCUGAGAGGGUGACCGGCCACAUUGGGACUGAGAUACGGCCCAGACUCCUACGGGAGGCAGCAGUGGGGAAUAUUGCACAAUGGGCGGAAGCCUGAUGCAGCAACGCCGCGUGCGGGAUGACGGCCUUCGGGUUGUAAACCGCUUUCGCCUGUGACGAAGCGUGAGUGACGGUAAUGGGUAAAGAAGCACCGGCUAACUACGUG
This 468-nucleotide ribosomal RNA is filed under the name uncultured bacterium. RNAcentral's name for it is "partial 16S ribosomal RNA". It matches the Rfam family "Bacterial small subunit ribosomal RNA", at positions 28 to 507 of the family's 1533-position model. The record is from RNAcentral.